RNAcentral lists this ribosomal RNA (706 nucleotides) under Pediococcus pentosaceus. Its description in RNAcentral is "bacterial SSU rRNA". It matches the Rfam family "Bacterial small subunit ribosomal RNA", at positions 78 to 772 of the family's 1533-position model. Lineage: Bacteria; Bacillati; Bacillota; Bacilli; Lactobacillales; Lactobacillaceae. The record is from RNAcentral.
UUUUAACACGAAGUGAGUGGCGAACGGGUGAGUAACACGUGGGUAACCUGCCCAGAAGUAGGGGAUAACACCUGGAAACAGGUGCUAAUACCGUAUAACAGAGAAAACCGCAUGGUUUUCUUUUGAAAGAUGGCUCUGCUAUCACUUUUGGAUGGACCCGCGGCGUAUUAGCUAGUUGGUGAGGUAAAGGCUCACCAAGGCAGUGAUACGUAGCCGACCUGAGAGGGUAAUCGGCCACAUUGGGACUGAGACACGGCCCAGACUCCUACGGGAGGCAGCAGUAGGGAAUCUUCCACAAUGGACGAAAGUCUGACCGAGCAACGCCGCGUGAGUGAAGAAGGGUUUCGGCUCGUAAAGCUCUGUUGUUAAAGAAGAACGUGGGUAAGAGUAACUGUUUACCCAGUGACGGUAUUUAACCAGAAAGCCACGGCUAACUACGUGCCAGCAGCCGCGGUAAUACGUAGGUGGCAAGCGUUAUCCGGAUUUAUUGGGCGUAAAGCGAGCGCAGGCGGUCUUUUAAGUCUAAUGUGAAAGCCUUCGGCUCAACCGAAGAAGUGCAUUGGAAACUGGGAGACUUGAGUGCAGAAGAGGACAGUGGAACUCCAUGUGUAGCGGUGAAAUGCGUAGAUAUAUGGAAGAACACCAGUGGCGAAGGCGGCUGUCUGGUCUGCAACUGACGCUGAGGCUCGAAAGCAUGGGUAGCGAA